GCCUUCGUGGUGUAGUGGUCAGCCCUCUAGACGCGUAACCGAGAGGUCCGUGGUUCGAUUCCCGGCGAGAGCA
Stegodyphus mimosarum is the source of this 73-nucleotide non-coding RNA. NCBI's taxonomy places the organism in Eukaryota, Metazoa, Arthropoda, Arachnida, Araneae, Eresidae. The record is from Rfam.